UACGUAGGGUGCGAGCGUUGUCCGGAUUUAUUGGGCGUAAAGAGCUCGUAGGCGGUUUGUCGCGUCUGCUGUGAAAACUGGGGGCUCAACCCCCCAGCCUGCAGUGGGUACGGGCAGACUAGAGUGCGGUAGGGGAGAUUGGAAUUCCUGGUGUAGCGGUGGAAUGCGCAGAUAUCAGGAGGAACACCGAUGGCGAAGGCAGAUCUCUGGGCCGUAACUGACGCUGAGGAGCGAAAGCAUGGGGAGCGAACAGG
This 254-nucleotide ribosomal RNA is filed under the name uncultured bacterium. Its description in RNAcentral is "partial 16S ribosomal RNA". It matches the Rfam family "Bacterial small subunit ribosomal RNA", at positions 524 to 776 of the family's 1533-position model. The record is from RNAcentral.